GUGAAGCGGCAACAGCUCAAAUUUGAAAUCUGGCUCUCGGGCCCGAGUUGUAAUUUGUAGAGGAUGCUUUUGAUGCGGUGCCUUCCGAGUUCCCUGGAACGGGACGCCAUAGAGGGUGAGAGCCCCGUCUGGUUGGAUGCCAAAUCUCUGUAAAGCUCCUUCGACGAGUCGAGUAGUUUGGGAAUGCUGCUCUAAAUGGGAGGUAUAUGUCUUCUAAAGCUAAAUACCGGCCAGAGACCGAUAGCGCACAAGUAGAGUGAUCGAAAGAUGAAAAGCACUUUGAAAAGAGAGUUAAAAAGUACGUGAAAUUGUUGAAAGGGAAGCGUUUAUGACCAGACUUGGGCUUGGUUAAUCAUCUGGGGUUCUCCCCAGUGCACUUUUCCAGUCCAGGCCAGCAUCAGUUUUCGCCGGGGGAUAAAGGCUUCGGGAAUGUGGCUCUCUCCGGGGAGUGUUAUAGCCCGUUGCGUAAUACCCUGGCGGGGACUGAGGUUCGCGCAUCUGCAAGGAUGCUGGCGUAAUGGUCAUCAACGACCCGUCUUGAAACACGGACCAAGGAGUCGUCUUCGUAUGCGAGUGUUCGGGUGUCAAACCCCUACGCGUAAUGAAAGUGAACGCUGGUGAGAGCUUCGGCGCAUCAUCGACCGAUCCUUAUGUUUUCGGAUGGAUUUGAGUAAGAGCAUACGGGGCCGGACCCGAAAGAAGGUGAACUAUGCCUGUGUAGGGUGAAGCCAGAGGAAACUCUGGUGGAGGCUCGCAGCGGUUCUGACGUGCAAAUCGAUCGUCAAA
This 786-nucleotide unclassified non-coding RNA is filed under the name Fusarium equiseti. RNAcentral describes it as "sequence contains 28S rRNA gene". It matches the Rfam family "Eukaryotic large subunit ribosomal RNA", at positions 93 to 909 of the family's 3401-position model. The record is from RNAcentral. Lineage: Eukaryota; Fungi; Ascomycota; Sordariomycetes; Hypocreales; Nectriaceae.